Oryctolagus cuniculus (rabbit) is the source of this 175-nucleotide small nuclear RNA. Its record names the gene U2. It matches the Rfam family "U2 spliceosomal RNA". From Rfam's summary of the family: U2 is a small nuclear RNA (snRNA) component of the spliceosome (involved in pre-mRNA splicing). Complementary binding between U2 snRNA (in an area lying towards the 5' end but 3' to hairpin I) and the branchpoint sequence (BPS) of the intron results the bulging out of an unpaired adenosine, on the BPS, which initiates a nucleophilic attack at the intronic 5' splice site, thus starting the first of two transesterification reactions that mediate splicing. The record is from Ensembl. NCBI's taxonomy places the organism in Eukaryota, Metazoa, Chordata, Mammalia, Lagomorpha, Leporidae.
AUCACUUCUCUGCCUUUUGGCUAAGAUCAAGUGUAGUACCUGUUCUUACCAGAGCUGACUUUCCCACACUGGUUAUUUCCAAAGCAUUAAAGGACAAUUGGGGGGCCGGCACUGUGGAGUAGUAGGCUAAGCCUCUGCCUUCAGUUUCAGCAUCCCAAAUGGGUGCUGACCAGUU